Molecule: ribosomal RNA, 795 nt
Filed under: uncultured Bacteroidota bacterium
Lineage: Bacteria; Pseudomonadati; Bacteroidota
Description: bacterial SSU rRNA
Rfam family: Bacterial small subunit ribosomal RNA
Source: RNAcentral
AGACUGAUGGCGACCGGCGCACGGGUGCGUAACGCGUAUGCAACUUGCCUCACAGAGGGGGAUAACCCGUCGAAAGACGGACUAAUACCGCGUACACUCUAUGUUGGGCAUCCAAUGUAGAGGAAAUGAAAUUCGCUGUGAGAUAGGCAUGCGUCCCAUUAGCUAGUUGGUGAGGUAACGGCUCACCAAGGCGACGAUGGGUAGGGGAACUGAGAGGUUGAACCCCCACACUGGUACUGAGACACGGACCAGACUCCUACGGGAGGCAGCAGUGAGGAAUAUUGGUCAAUGGGCGAGAGCCUGAACCAGCCAAGUCGCGUGAAGGAUGACUGUCUUAUGGAUUGUAAACUUCUUUUAUACGGGAAUAACAAGAGCCACGUGUGGCUCCCUGCAUGUACCGUAUGAAUAAGCAUCGGCUAACUCCGUGCCAGCAGCCGCGGUAAUACGGAGGAUGCGAGCGUUAUCCGGAUUUAUUGGGUUUAAAGGGUGCGUAGGCGGCCUGUUAAGUCAGCGGUGAAAUCUAGGAGCUUAACUCCUAAAUUGCCAUUGAUACUGGCGGGCUUGAGUGUAGAUGAGGUAGGCGGAAUGCGUGGUGUAGCGGCGGAAUGCAUAGAUAUCACGCAGAACUCCGAUUGCGAAGGCAGCUUACUAAGGUACAACUGACGCUGAAGCACGAAAGCGUGGGUAUCAAACAGGAUUAGAUACCCUGGUAGUCCACGCAGUAAACGAUGAUAACUGGGCGUAUGCGAUAUACAGUAUGCUCCUAAGCGAAAGCGUUAAGUUAUCCACCUGGGA